Molecule: ribosomal RNA, 450 nt
Filed under: uncultured bacterium
Lineage: Bacteria
Description: bacterial SSU rRNA
Rfam family: Bacterial small subunit ribosomal RNA
Source: RNAcentral
AACGAACGCUGGCGGCAUGCCUAACACAUGCAAGUCGAACGAAGCCUUCGGGCUUAGUGGCGCACGGGUGCGUAACACGUGGGAAUCUGCCCUUUGGUUCGGAAUAACGGUUAGAAAUGACUGCUAAUACCGGAUAAUGACGUAAGUCCAAAGAUUUAUCGCCGAAGGAUGAGCCCGCGUAGGAUUAGGUAGUUGGUGGGGUAAUGGCCCACCAAGCCGACGAUCCUUAGCUGGUCUGAGAGGAUGAUCAGCCACACUGGGACUGAGACACGGCCCAGACUCCUACGGGAGGCAGCAGUGGGGAAUAUUGGACAAUGGGCGAAAGCCUGAUCCAGCAAUGCCGCGUGAGUGAUGAAGGCCUUAGGGUUGUAAAGCUCUUUUACCAGGGAUGAUAAUGACAGUACCUGGAGAAUAAGCUCCGGCUAACUCUGUGCCAGCAGCCGCGGUAAU